RNAcentral lists this ribosomal RNA (465 nucleotides) under uncultured bacterium. RNAcentral's name for it is "bacterial SSU rRNA". It matches the Rfam family "Bacterial small subunit ribosomal RNA", at positions 338 to 795 of the family's 1533-position model. The record is from RNAcentral.
CCUACGGGUCGCACCAGUGGGGAAUUUUGGACAAUGGGCGCAAGCCUGAUCCAGCAAUGCCGCGUGCAGGAUGAAGGCCUUCGGGUUGUAAACUGCUUUUGUACGGAACGAAAAGCCCUGGGUUAAUACCCUGGGGUCAUGACGGUACCGUAAGAAUAAGCACCGGCUAACUACGUGUCAGCAGCCGCGGUAAUACGUAGGGUGCGAGCGUUAAUCGGAAUUACUGGGCGUAAAGCGUGCGCAGGCGGUUUUGUAAGACAGAGGUGAAAUCCCCGGGCUCAACCUGGGAACUGCCUUUGUGACUGCAAGGCUAGAGUACGGCAGAGGGGGAUGGAAUUCCGCGUGUAGCAGUGAAAUGCGUAGAAAUGCGGAGGAACACCGAUGGCGAAGGCAAUCCCCUGGGUCUGUACUGACGCUCAUGCACGAAAGCGUGGGGAGCAAACAGGAUUAGAUACCCGUGUAGUC